Molecule: ribosomal RNA, 251 nt
Filed under: uncultured bacterium
Lineage: Bacteria
Description: partial 16S ribosomal RNA
Rfam family: Bacterial small subunit ribosomal RNA
Source: RNAcentral
GCAAGUCGAGGGGUAACAGGGGAGCUUGCUUCUGCUGACGACCGGCGCACGGGUGCGUAACGCGUAUGCAACCUACCUUAUACUGGAGAAUAGCCCAGAGAAAUUUGGAUUAAUACUCCAUAGUAUUAUUUAGUGGCAUCACUAGAUACUUAAAGUUCCGGCGGUAUAAGAUGGGCAUGCGUGAUAUUAGCUAGUUGGUAAGGUAACGGCUUACCAAGGCAACGAUAUCUAGGGGUUCUGAGAGGAAGAUC